GGGCUGGCUGCUGAGAUUCGUAUUUCCACGUGUGGCACAAGAAGUGCUGGCAGCUCCCAGGUGAGCAGGGAUGCUCCUGGCAGCACCAGCCCCUUCCACGGUCCUCACACACUCAGGGCCGUUCACCGAGCCGAUGACACAGGCAUUGCUUCACAGUGGUCAGAGCCUUUGGCUCAUAAAAUAGGAGCUUCGGUUUCCUGCCUUUCAUCAAGUCAGGAGCCCUUCAGAUCCAGCUCAUUGAAGAAGAUAACAUCUCUUGGCGCGCGUUCUUUCCUCACUUGUGGAUGGAUUGAAAGUUACCUCCACUGCCCGUCCCAAUCUGUUGGAAAAGGCACAGACCUGGUGAGAGCCAGUGCCUGGCAAAGCAGCUCAGGACAGAUCUGGUCACAGACAUCAGCCUCCUCAGACCAGCAUAGCAAGGAAGAGGCAGCUUUUGGCUUUCCAGACCUCUGCAGGACUCAGCUAAAAACAGAGUUCAGAGGACCUCACACUUUGUCCUGUGAGCAGCAGUCAAAAGCUUUGAUGUACACUUUCACAUGUGAGAGAGGGCAUAACCACCCUGCAUUCAGUGAAGCCAAGGAUAUGCAAAGUCUGCUGCUGGGAGAAGAAAGUUGUUCCAAAGCAGAGAAGACAGGCAGUUAUUAUUCUGUCUAUACAGGACUAAUUAAAUAACCCCAUGUCUGCAAACCGUAACUUGAAAAUGUUCCCUGUCACAAAAUGUGCCAGCCCAUAGCUACACAAAAUAGAGAAAACCUAUUAUGAGUGACUAAAACCAUUGGAAACUGUGGAAAUAUUGCCUCAGGCUGCAAGGUCCUUUCCUGUGGAAAGAAAAUUUUGCAGUUGUCUAUUAAUACUGUUCAUGGCUAAGAAUGAGUGCUCAAGCGCUCUGGGUUUCAUCAAAGGGGUUUUCAUAUAGGCUGUUCUGAAGUGAAUACAAAAGGAGAAAAUUUCCUUCCUCAUUAUUCUGAUGUUUUCCUACCUCCCCCUCCUCUCCCACCUUGUGCAUCAGGAACUGGGGAGAGUGAGAACCUAAAGAGCAGAACAUCAGUGUGCAGGGACAAGCAGCCAUGUGGCAUGGAGGACCAUCACUGGAUUCUCUAGGUAAAGACAGAUUUCUGGACUAAGAAACAUAAGGAGGUGCUAUGAGAACACUGGUUCCAUGCAGAAACAGCCCAGGCUACACCCUACUGCUAAUGGAAGGAGUUACAUGCAAUGGCUGCCUGAGACAGCAGGCCCUCAUCUGGGGGCUGCACAAACAGCCUCCUUCAAAACAAGGCAAGGGCGCUUUUGUCUUCCUGUUCAGAGCUGGCUGGGUUGGGUAACCCAAGCAAUGAAGGCCACCUCCACAUCCUCAAGGAUGCAGUGAGGGUGCUGUGCUCAGGGUGCAGGAACACCUGGUCUGCAUGUGCUGGCUGUGGGGAGCUCUGUCCUUUGGAAUGCACCAAAGCCCCAUGCUCAGAGUGAGUCAUUUAUGACUGCAAAGUCCCAGACAAAACAGAUGAGCUCAGCAGGCAGAGGGCAGGCCCACGAACAUCUGUUUGUAGCCAUCCCACGUGUUAAAAUGGCACUGCUGUGCUCUGGCAUCUUAAUGGUUUGGUAUUAGGACAAAGCCACACAGCAAGCAGUUAAACAGUUUUCUUAUCUCACGGAGCAAUUAAAUGUAUCUGUGGCUCCUGCUGUGUACAUUGUAAGGGUAGUUAGGGAAAACAUACUUGAAAUAAAGAGCCUUGCCAGUUUAAAUUUGAGAUAUUAUUAGUGUUUAACCGAGAGGGAAGCGCUGGCCUUCUGCACCUUAUGCAUCCCACUGGAGCUGCACAUGACCCCAUCCUUGGCUUCCCACCCAGCUGAGCCACGGCCAUAGCCAAGCCCUGAGGCACCGGGUGCUGCCGGCCCUUGGCUAAACAGCACUGCCCAGAGCAGCUGCCCUGUCUGAGGUCUGCCAGGCACAGCUCUGCUCACCCCCACUGCUACCAGGCCCCUCAGUGGCCGUUUGGGUUUGAUCAGCAAAAAUGACUUUUUACUGCACCCAAACUAAACCUGCUCCUUGAAGCUACUGAGAGGGCAGCCGUGAUCAAAGGCGAACGGGGAUGCUGCUGGUGGAAACAGCUAGCAGUGGUGUGCAGACACGGGGAUGGCGUAGACUGGGGUGAAGAUGAAGAAGACACCGUGGCACCUCCUGUGGUCCAUUGUUCAGGACUUCAAAGGGCCGGAGAUCUGCAGCAGUGCUACUAGCUGCUAUCUUCCAGCAGCAGCGAUUAUGGGCUGAAUGAGGCUCAGAGACAGUGACUGCAAAGGGCUAGGAAAGCUGCUCCUUUUUGGUUCAUUUCCCUGAUUGCCUGUGUUUCCAUUAUAUCCGCCCCUCCAGUCUUCUAAUCCUCCGAGCUGAUCUAUCGCCAUGAAUAUUCACAGUCUAUGGCACACUUAUUACUGCUGCCUGGAUGUCCCGAAGCUGCUAUCAAUCAUGCCUUAAUCUUGCAUGCAGCUCCCGGGACUUCAUCUAAAAUGCAGAUGGGAAACAUGGAAAAUGUAAAGAACCAGGAGAAGAAAAAGUUAGUCAGUAAAUGCUGAAGUAGGGGUUCCUGGUUCAGUUUCCUAUUGAUUUUCACAUUACUGAUACUGGAGUAGCAACUGAUCUGGCAGCAUUUGCUGAAAGGCUGCACCUCUAGCAUUGUCCCAUCCCUUGCACAGGAGCUGUUCCGUCCCCCAGCCAUCGUCACAUCACAGCCCUGCUCUCCCUGCACUGCUUCCGUGCCCUUUCCCAGAGACAGCAGCACGGUGGGGCCGGGCUGGUUGUUGUACAGCAGAUGUUGCCCUGCAAACAUGAAUCCUCAUUGCUGCUGGACUGCUUAAAAUUGGAGGGGGAGUUUGGUGCAGGUGGGAGGACUGAGCAGGAACAGAAGAAUGUGCAGCUGGCUUUUGGGUACAAAUCAUUGUACAUACAGUGACUUGCUUUCCUAUUUUGAGGGCAAGCUGACCUUUAACUGCUGCUUGUUCAAUACUGUGUUAGUACAGCUCAGUGGCUGCGCCGUGCGCCUCAUGAGCCACUCAGCGAUGCUGGGGCGUGCCGUAAGGGUGGCUGGUGGCACACAGAUGCGGGAAUUUGCCGAUGUAUAGAGUGCAAGCAGGCAACGUGGCACUCCCAGGCUGCCAGGGCAGGUCUGCUCUGCUGUUCAGCUCCCGCACACACUGAGCUGCUCCUGUCCCUGCGUGCCGCCCCGCUCGUGGGACCAGCAGCGUGACAAAAGCCAUCCUCAGACAGGAGGGGAGGGCUGAGUCGCACCAAACAGCCCCGGUGCUCAGCGCAGGCUGCGAGAACCGGAGGGUGUUCCCUGAAGCAGGGACAUUAAUCACCGCUGUUUUACACAUCACUUUGUUCGCAUUUCUUCUUCUACAUAAAAAGGCUAAGAAGCCUUUUGUCAUCAAAUGACGGGGAGGAACAAUAGCUUCGCUCGCUCCGUCCCCGCCCCGCAGAGGCUGAAUCACCACCGCAAGGCACAUCAUCCCCGGCCCGCAGCUCAGCUCCUGCAUCCCGGUGACUCACUGAGGAGCGGAGAUGGGAGCGGAAGCGGCCGCCACAGCCCCCCCGAAGCAGCCGUGAACUGAGUGCUGAUCUGCGGCGGGCGUCGGUGGGGCAGGGGCGGCGAGGGACGGUGGGGCUGAGGAUGAUGCACAGCCGUGAGUGGAGCUGUGCGGGACACAGGGGGCACAGGCAGCCCCUGACUGGCAGCUCUGGGCAUUCAGUGCUAAUGUUGGGCCGAAGAGCCUCAUCUCAGGGCUUGGAUGUCGCCUUAGCCCCCUUUGCCAGCCCAGCUUUGCAGUUAGCAGGGGGCUCCCGUGCCCAAGACACCGCGGGAGCCGUGUGAGCACCCGGUCAUCCCGGGGCUUUGGCUCUGCCCGGCUUCUCUCCAGCACAGGGCGGUGGUGGGAAGGCAGCCGGUGCCGCGGGCUGCUCUGCUGUAAAUGAAGCAGUGCAAGAGAAGGUCAGAGCAUUAGCUCAUCGCUAACAGAAAAGUUCAGGCAAUUAAGCUUUAAGACACAUUGGAGGGUACUGGCAGUGAUUACAAAUGUCAGAAAAACAUUUUAUGGCAAUAAAUAACAAAUGAACACAGACUUUUACCAGGCUCUUGAAGCCUGGAGGAAAACAAGGUCUUUUAUUAUAUUUUUCUUAGGAACUUUCCCUCUUCAAAGGCAGUCAGCAAAUGCUAGCCAUUGUAGGAAGGAGACUGUCUUACUCCACCAUCUCCGAAUAGUCAAUUCCAUCCCCUUAGAGAACAGGCUUGCUCAGAGAUCUUACAAACAGACCAGCAAGUGAGCAGGAACGGCAAGCUGCUGCUGCCCAAAGGGCGGUGUGGGCAUUACAGAAGUGCUGGGCUGCGGGUGGUUGGAGCUUAGCAGAGCUGGCUGUAAAGCUUCACCUCGAAGUAUUGCGUGCUGC
RNAcentral lists this long non-coding RNA (4435 nucleotides) under Meleagris gallopavo (turkey). RNAcentral's name for it is "lncRNA (ENSMGAG00000017887.1)". Lineage: Eukaryota; Metazoa; Chordata; Aves; Galliformes; Phasianidae. The record is from RNAcentral.